This 497-nucleotide ribosomal RNA is filed under the name uncultured bacterium. RNAcentral's name for it is "partial 16S ribosomal RNA". It matches the Rfam family "Bacterial small subunit ribosomal RNA", at positions 28 to 507 of the family's 1533-position model. The record is from RNAcentral.
GACGAACGCUGGCGGCGUGCCUAAUACAUGCAAGUUGAGCGCUGAAGGUUGGUACUUGUACCAACUGGAUGAGCAGCGAACGGGUGAGUAACGCGUGGGGAAUCUGCCUUUGAGCGGGGGACAACAUUUGGAAACGAAUGCUAAUACCGCAUAAAAACUUUAAACACAAGUUUUAAGUUUGAAAGAUGCAAUUGCAUCACUCAAAGAUGAUCCCGCGUUGUAUUAGCUAGUUGGUGAGGUAAAGGCUCACCAAGGCGAUGAUACAUAGCCGACCUGGGAGGGUGAUCGGCCACAUUGGGACUGAGACACGGCCCAAACUCCUACGGGAGGCAGCAGUAGGGAAUCUUCGGCAAUGGACGAAAGUCUGACCGAGCAACGCCGCGUGAGGGAAGAAGGUUUUCGGAUCGUAAAACUCUGUUGGUAGAGAAGAACGUUGGUGAGAGUGGAAAGCUCAUCAAGUGACGGUAACUACCCAGAAAGGGACGGCUAACUACGUG